Molecule: ribosomal RNA, 490 nt
Filed under: uncultured bacterium
Lineage: Bacteria
Description: partial 16S ribosomal RNA
Rfam family: Bacterial small subunit ribosomal RNA
Source: RNAcentral
AUUGAACGCUGGCGGCAGGCCUAACACAUGCAAGUCGAACGGUAACAGGAAGAAGCUUGCUUCUUUGCUGACGAGUGGCGGACGGGUGAGUAAUGUCUGGGAAACUGCCUGAUGGAGGGGGAUAACUACUGGAAACGGUAGCUAAUACCGCAUAAUGUCGCAAGACCAAAGAGGGGGACCUUCGGGCCUCUUGCCAUCGGAUGUGCCCAGAUGGGAUUAGCUAGUAGGUGGGGUAACGGCUCACCUAGGCGACGAUCCCUAGCUGGUCUGAGAGGAUGACCAGCCACACUGGAACUGAGACACGGUCCAGACUCCUACGGGAGGCAGCAGUGGGGAAUAUUGCACAAUGGGCGCAAGCCUGAUGCAGCUAUGCCGCGUGUAUGAAGAAGGCCUUCGGGUUGUAAAGUACUUUCAGCGGGGAGGAAGGGAGUAAAGUUAAUACCUUUGCUCAUUGACGUUACCCGAAGAAGAAGCACCGGCUAACUCCGUG